UACGAAGGGGGCUAGCGUUGCUCGGAAUUACUGGGCGUAAAGCGCACGUAGGCGGCUUUCUAAGUCGGGGGUGAAAUCCUGGAGCUCAACUCCAGAACUGCCUUUGAUACUGGCGACCUUGAGUCCGGGAGAGGUGAGUGGAACUGCGAGUGUAGAGGUGAAAUUCGUAGAUAUUCGCAAGAACACCAGUGGCGAAGGCGGCUCACUGGCCCGGUACUGACGCUGAGGUGCGAAAGCGUGGGGAGCAAACAGG
This 253-nucleotide ribosomal RNA is filed under the name uncultured bacterium. RNAcentral's name for it is "partial 16S ribosomal RNA". It matches the Rfam family "Bacterial small subunit ribosomal RNA", at positions 524 to 776 of the family's 1533-position model. The record is from RNAcentral.